Molecule: ribosomal RNA, 686 nt
Filed under: uncultured bacterium
Lineage: Bacteria
Description: bacterial SSU rRNA
Rfam family: Bacterial small subunit ribosomal RNA
Source: RNAcentral
AUAAUCAUUGGAAACGAUGACUAAUACCGCAUACGGUUUCUGGGAGGCAUCUUCCGGGAAAGAAAGGAUUUAUUCGGUGCAGGAUGGGCCCGCAUCUGAUUAGCUAGUUGGUGAGAUAACAGCCCACCAAGGCGACGAUCAGUAGCCGACCUGAGAGGGUGACCGGCCACAUUGGGACUGAGACACGGCCCAAACUCCUACGGGAGGCAGCAGUGGGGAAUAUUGCACAAUGGGCGAAAGCCUGAUGCAGCAACGCCGCGUGAAGGAAGAAGGGUUUCGGCUCGUAAACUUCUAUCAACAGGGACGAAAGAAAUGACGGUACCUGAAUAAGAAGCCCCGGCUAACUACGUGCCAGCAGCCGCGGUAAUACGUAGGGGGCAAGCGUUAUCCGGAAUUACUGGGUGUAAAGGGUGAGUAGGCGGCAUGGUAAGCCAGAUGUGAAAGCCUUGGGCUUAACCCGAGGAUUGCAUUUGGAACUAUCAAGCUAGAGUACAGGAGAGGAAAGCGGAAUUCCUAGUGUAGCGGUGAAAUGCGUAGAUAUUAGGAAGAACACCAGUGGCGAAGGCGGCUUUCUGGACUGAAACUGACGCUGAGGCACGAAAGCGUGGGGAGCGAACAGGAUUAGAUACCCUGGUAGUCCACGCCGUAAACGAUGAGUGCUAGGUGUCGGGGAGGAAUCCCCGGUG